AGUCGAGAAUCUUCGGCAAUGGGCGAAAGCCUGACCGAGCGACGCCGCGUGCGGGAUGAAGGCCCUCGGGUUGUAAACCGCUGUCGUAGAGGAGGAAGGCUUCGUGAAGAACGAGGUUUGACCUAUUCUAGGAGGAAGUACGGGCUAAGUUCGUGCCAGCAGCCGCGGUAAUACGAACCGUACAAACGUUAUUCGGAAUCACUGGGCUUAAAGGGUGCGUAGGCGGCCAUGUAAGUGAGAUGUGAAAUCCCUCGGCUCAACCGAGGAACUGCGUUUCAUACUGCAUGGCUUGAGGGAGACAGGGGUAAGCGGAACUGAUGGUGGAGCGGUGAAAUGCGUUGAUAUCAUCAGGAACACCGGUGGCGAAAGCGGCUUACUGGGUCUCUUCUGACGCUGAGGUACGAAAGCUAGGGGAGCGAA
This 420-nucleotide ribosomal RNA is filed under the name uncultured Planctomycetaceae bacterium. RNAcentral describes it as "bacterial SSU rRNA". It matches the Rfam family "Bacterial small subunit ribosomal RNA", at positions 353 to 772 of the family's 1533-position model. Lineage: Bacteria; Pseudomonadati; Planctomycetota; Planctomycetia; Planctomycetales; Planctomycetaceae. The record is from RNAcentral.